Molecule: long non-coding RNA, 241 nt
Filed under: Ananas comosus (pineapple)
Lineage: Eukaryota; Viridiplantae; Streptophyta; Magnoliopsida; Poales; Bromeliaceae
Description: long non-coding RNA (ACOM_LNC022882)
Source: RNAcentral
GCUGUAGUGCUUUUAGAAGCACGAAGACUUUUGUUCUUCUAAAUUAUUUUCGAUGAUCAGACUUUCGAAUUGACAAUUGACCCAGUUACACUUGAUUUGUAGUAUUUGAGGUAUUUUGAAAAGAAAAUUUACAAUUUUUUGAUAUCAUAAUCUUAGUGAUCGAAGGAACUCAAAAUCAACAACUGUAAAUAUAUAUAUCUCAUAAGAAAGGAAACAUAGCACAACAUGCCUAAAACUAAAA